ACCCCCUCCAAAUUCUACUCAGACUUCACCACCCUGGCCCCUGGGGUACAAGCGUGGUUCAGGCUAAGCCAGAGUCCCUCGCUGAGAUGUUACCUCUAAAGCCAUCAGCCAGGAGAGGAAAAGUGGCUUCCAUUGGUUACAAGGUUGUAAGGGGAGAACUAGGAGUGCCCCAAGGCCAUAUUCUGGCCUUAGUGGGCAGCCAGCUUGAGAGAAAGAAAGAGAAAACCAUGCUGAAGAAAGCCAGGCAGGGACAGAUGGACAGAUAGAGUUUAAGUCGCUGGCCUGCCAGGGCUCCCCAGGGCCAGCUCUAGUGUGGCACUUUCCUCAGAGCAGUUACAUGAGACAAUAUAGUCCCUCCCUUUUCCUUUUAGCUAGGGUGGGUCCUGUCCCCACCUGUGUAGGCAGAGGAGCCCUGAGCAAUGAGCACACUGCACUUAUUCAGCGGCAGCUGAAGUGAUUCAGGAGGAUGGCCUUGAAGGUUGUGGAGGAGAGAGAGCAUCCAGGGCGAAGACGACGACGUGAAAGAAGGCUCUAGGGGCUGGGCAUUGUGACUCACGCCUGUAAUCCCAGCAGUUUGGGAGGCUGAGCAACUUACAGUAGAAACCCCUGCCUGAAAUGGACAACUUCUCUGACUGAUCUAUUUCUAGGACUUCUUUAGAAAUUCAUGGUUCUCUCAGUUAUAUUUCUGUGAAUCCACUUUUUUUUGGAACCAACAAGGACCCUGCCUAUAUCAGUAAGGAAUUUAUUUGGCUACAAAUAGGAGAAAACCAGAACCACAAUGAUUGACACUGAUUUGCAUGACCCUGGGGCUGGCACAGCUGCUCAUCAGGCAUCCAGGCUGCUUCUUUCAUUUUACUGUACCAUCCUCAGCGCAGGCCUUUAGUCCUCAUGGUCACAAGAUGGCUGCUGUACUUCCUGGUCUCACAUCCAUGUUCCAGGCAGGAGGAGGGAGGAAGGACAAAAGGCAUGGCACUCCCCCAACUCCUUUUUUAAAAAUCAGGAAAACAAGCUUUGCCAGAAGCGUCACUAGGCUGAACUUGACUAUUUCUCACAGUCCAUGUGGUGUCACACGCGCACCUCUAGCUAAAAGAUGCCUGUGGAAAAGAGGGUUGUGUGAGUGAAGAUGAGAAGCCAACAGCGUCUGCUCUGCUGAAGAAAUAGAACAAUGGAGUUCUCAUGAGUGCAUUGCGUGUGUGAUGGCAUUUGUAGUGCAAUCAGAGGGAGGAGGGGAUGUCAUUCCUAUUCUUGACAGGAAAUCACUACACAGAUUUGCCUCACCUGAAAAUGUGACAGAAGCCAGUCAGCAACGUCGUGACAGAGCCUGGACUUCUUCGUGCUUGUCUCCACAUAUCCAGCCACCUUGAGGAAGAGGAUGAUCCCACAGGCGCUGGCCAUGUUACUAGCCACUUUCUAACUUCCAAAUAAGACGGGAAAGAACAUUCCAGACCAGGGGAGCCCACCCCCAACUCUUGGAGGAGAGCUUCAAUUUUUCCCAGAGACUCUGAAAUGACUCCAUCAAGGAGUUGAGUAGCUCACAAGGGACCAAAGCUGCUACGCCAGAAGAUGGAGACAGUCUCAACCAGAUGCUCAUGCCCUGAGGGCAGGACGCAAGCCCUGGGCUGAGGCCCAGUGAGGAUCUCACAUUAAGGGGAGGGAGGAGGAGGGCUGGGUCAGGGAGGGACCCUUCGAGGGGUUGGCUGUUGGGGGAGCAAGCGCAUUAACAAAGGUAUUGGUCUUUGACAAUCU
Homo sapiens (human) is the source of this 1746-nucleotide long non-coding RNA. The record is from Ensembl. Lineage: Eukaryota; Metazoa; Chordata; Mammalia; Primates; Hominidae.